This is a long non-coding RNA of Cydia splendana, 718 nucleotides long. RefSeq lists it as uncharacterized. NCBI's taxonomy places the organism in Eukaryota, Metazoa, Arthropoda, Insecta, Lepidoptera, Tortricidae. The transcript has 3 exons. The record is from RefSeq and is a predicted model, not a curated record.
GACACAUUAACUUCGACGACACAAUCGAUCAAUACGAUCGAUCCUUUAUUAUUUAUAUAUAUAAACAAACAAACAAACAAGCACACACGGACCACAUCCAAAAUGAUUCGAAGUGUUUAGUUUCGAAUGUACACAUAGACAUUUACCAUUUAUUUUGUGACCAACGGGCAUCAGAGAAGUCAGGAAGACAAGUAUGACUUACCACUGACAUCCUACGGCAGAAGAUACCCCUAUUGACAGUGUCUUAACAUGAAGAAACAAUCUGUGAGUAGGAACAGCUGGCUGCUGGCUGGAGUGGUGCGGACUAGGAGCAGGUACUGGGAUGGAGGAACGGGCUUCUCAUCGUAUUCGGUUCCAAAACUGGACUUUUACCUAUUAUACUUAAUUGUUUAAUGGGGAAUACUGUACUAAUUCCCCUUUUUCUAUAUUAAUAUAUAUCUUAUGGCAAAUAUGUUUCAUGAAAACCAGUCACUGCGCCUUAUUCUUAAUAUAUAUCAUACAUAAAUGGACCAUCGGAGUCCUUUAGUUAGUGUGCUACCACACCCUGUAAAUAUAGAUAAAAUAUUGAGUAUGACUAUAUGUAUAUAUUAAAUAAGAAAUAUGAUAUAAUGAAAUGUGUUCAUAUUAUAAUAAAUUAAUUGUAAGUUUUAAUAAAAGUUUCUAAAAAAGUAAUAAAAAGAUCAUUACAACAGGAAAGACAAAAAUACACGUAUUCGAC